This 395-nucleotide ribosomal RNA is filed under the name uncultured bacterium. Its description in RNAcentral is "bacterial SSU rRNA". It matches the Rfam family "Bacterial small subunit ribosomal RNA", at positions 505 to 898 of the family's 1533-position model. The record is from RNAcentral.
GUGCCAGCCGCCGCGGUAACACGUAGGAGGCAAACGUUAUCCGGAUUUACUGGGCGUAAAGCGCGUGUAGGUGGUUUGGUAAGUAGGGCGUGAAAGCUCCUGGCUCAACUGGGAGAGGACGUUCUAAACUACCAAGCUUGAGGAUGGUAGAGGGAGGUGGAAUUCCGGGUGUAGCGGUGGAAUGCGCAGAUAUCCGGAGGAACACCAGUGGCGAAGGCGGCCUCCUGGACCAUUCCUGACACUCAGACGCGAAAGCUAGGGUAGCAAACGGGAUUAGAGACCCCGGUAGUCCUAGCCCUAAACGAUGUAGACUUGGCGUCGGUGGUUUAAACGCCAUCGGUGUCGGAGCUAACGCGUUAAGUCUACCGCCUGGGGACUACGGCCGCAAGGUUAAA